Molecule: long non-coding RNA, 2089 nt
Filed under: Homo sapiens (human)
Lineage: Eukaryota; Metazoa; Chordata; Mammalia; Primates; Hominidae
Description: non-protein coding PCBP1-AS1:229
Source: RNAcentral
AGGUCACAAGAUUGCGCCAACCCUUACAUGGUCCUUAAAAAAAAAACCUUCUGACACUGCAGUAGUGAAAAUGAAGCGCACGAUGGGCGGAAGCUGUGAGUCCGGCAAAGUUUUAAAAUGAUGACGUAUUUUAUUAACUCUAACGGCACUGGCGGGUGACUGAAAAUACUAGUGCUGUGUAUGCGGGAUAGACAUUAUUUUCCUGCCCUACAUGAGGGGCUCGUGCGCGGAACGACAUGGGCAGCCCCGGCGGAAACUGCAGGCACAAGCCGGGACGCCGCGGGUUUAAAACAUGCGCGUGAGAGGAAGACAAACAUAAAGAUGAAGUGCUUAAUUCAAGGUCACACAAUGUCGGGGAUGGACCUCCAGAUUUCCUUACUGGUGAGACGUGGUCUUGUAACACAGUGGUUAAGAAUGUGACUUUGGAGCCAGCCUGCUAGGGGCUGAAUUCUGACUCAGCCAUUUACUAACUGUGUGACCUUAGGCUGGAGUGCAAUGGCAUGAUCUCGGCUCAUCACAACCUCUGCUUCCUGGGUUCAAGCGAUUCUCCUGCCUCAGCCUCCCGAGUACCUGGGACUACAGGCACUCGCCACCAUGCCCGGCUGAUUUUUGUAUUUUUAAUAGAGAUGGUUUCACUAUGUUGGCCAGGCUGGUCUCGAACUCCUGACCUUGUGAUCUGCCCACCUCAGCCUCGAAAAGUGCUGGGAUUACAGGCGUGAGCCACUGCGCCCAGCCUUGUAUUUUUUUUCAGUUUGGGUAGCUGUCCCUAAUUCAUUUGUUAAAGGAGAAGCAAGAGCAAGAACCUUUAAUCUGUUCUCCUCUUCCCUAAUUUGAAAGUAGCUUGUUAUUUUGAAUAUCACUUUCUCUGAAAUAGCACAUCUCCAUCUCAGAGAAUGGAUUUAAUGUUUGGAUACAGCCAAAAGUCAUUUCAUUACCAAACCAUGGGGUGAAUAUACCAUGUAAAGCAGUUUGGGAUCAGAACUCACAGUCUGAAUUGUAAGUGAUGAGACUGCUGUCUCUCUGCUACAGCUUCUUGGCUGGCUCUGAAGGCUCUUUGAAGGCAGAUCCUAACAAGGGGACUGCUUUGAAGGGCCAUUGUUCAUUUGGAAUGAUAAAGUCUAUGUUGUUCAAAAAACAAAUGCUUGUAGCAGGUAUUUUUUCACUCCAGACUGAGAAUAUUGGUGGGAUAUUGAUAAGGGGUACUGAAUGGUAAUAAACAUGUGCUCUAGCUCUGUGCUAGUCAGCUUAUUUCAGAACUCUAGUUUGAUUCAGUUUCUUGCCUCUGACUCAAAAUGGAGGGAGAGUGAUUUUUACAUAAGAGAACACACCCACAUAUCCUUUUGGCAGCAGCUACCUGCCAGAGAUGUUGAAGAAGAGUAGCCAACCUUUACACAGCAGAUAUUGUGUGCCAGUCAUAGUCCUAAGUAUAAUACCUUACAUGUAUAAACUUCUUAUAAGGUUGGUGCUCUGUACCGAAUUGAAUAGUAUCCCCCAAAAUUCAUGUUGUCCCAGAACCUAUGAAAGUGAUCUUACUUGAGGGAGGGGGGAGGGGGGAGGGAUAGCAUUAGGAGAUAUACCUAAUGCUAAAUGACGAGUUAAUGGGUGUAGCACACCAGCAUGGCACAUGUAUACAUAUGUAACUAACCUGCACAUUGUGCACAUGUACCCUAAAACUUAAAGUAUAAUAAUAAUAAAAUAAAAAAAAAAAAGAAAGUGAUCUUACUUGGAAAUAAGGUCUUUGCACAUAUGAUCAAGUUGAGAUGAAGUUGUACUGGAAAGUCUGUCUAGUGACUGGUGUUGUCAUAAGAAGAGAGGGACACAGAGGGAAGAUGGCCACAUGAAGAUGGAGGCAGAGAUUGCAGUUAUGCUGCUGCAAACUAAGGAAUGGCUCUGGCCCUCCAAGGAUUGCUGAUAACCACCAGAAACUAGAAGAGACAAGGAAGGAUUCUUCCCUAGAGCCUUCAGAGGGAGCAUGGCCCUACUGACACCUGGAUUUCAAACUUGUAGCUUCCUAAACUGCAAGAGAAUAAAUUUCUGUUGUUUUAAGCCAUAUAGUUUGUGGUAAUUUGUUAUGGCAGUCCUAGGUAAU